UGGGGAAUCUUGGACAAUGGGCGCAAGCCUGAUCCAGCCAUGCCGCGUGAGUGACGAAGGCCUUAGGGUUGUAAAGCUCUUUUGGCGGGGACGAUAAUGACGGUACCCGCAGAAUAAGUCCCGGCUAACUUCGUGCCAGCAGCCGCGGUAAUACGAAGGGGACUAGCGUUGUUCGGAAUUACUGGGCGUAAAGCGCACGUAGGCGGAUUUGUAAGUCAGGGGUGAAAUCCCGGGGCUCAACCUCGGAACUGCCUUUGAUACUGCAAGUCUCGAGUCCGAUAGAGGUGGGUGGAAUUCCUAGUGUAGAGGUGAAAUUCGUAGAUAUUAGGAAGAACACCGGUGGCGAAGGCGGCCCACUGGAUCGGUACUGACGCUGAGGUGCGAAAGCGUGGGGAGCAAACA
RNAcentral lists this ribosomal RNA (402 nucleotides) under uncultured Hyphomicrobium sp. RNAcentral's name for it is "bacterial SSU rRNA". It matches the Rfam family "Bacterial small subunit ribosomal RNA", at positions 355 to 774 of the family's 1533-position model. Lineage: Bacteria; Pseudomonadati; Pseudomonadota; Alphaproteobacteria; Hyphomicrobiales; Hyphomicrobiaceae. The record is from RNAcentral.